UCUGUAAAUCCCCAUCGGACCAAUAAGCCAUAUGUUUUGACACAUCAAACAGCCCUCAGCCAAAUAACUCUGUGUCUUUUUCUCUGGCGAUCGGCCAAGAAGCCGCCAGAUGCCAAUCGUCAUUUGUCAAGUGUCAACCCGAACCGACACUUUGUCUACCACUUGCCCGUUACUCGUUUUUUGUGUGUUGAGUGUAUCAACUAAUAUACAUCAUGUCGUUC
Non-coding RNA from Caenorhabditis elegans, 221 nucleotides. Lineage: Eukaryota; Metazoa; Nematoda; Chromadorea; Rhabditida; Rhabditidae. The record is from Ensembl.